CGUCUCUGUGGUUUGUAAGGUAGGUUGCAGUGUGUGUAUAUACACAACAUCAAGAGCAGGAAAAUGGACUCAUUAGGGAGGCAGGCAGUCAUUACCACUCACACUGUACUUCCAGGGAGACACCGAUUAUGAGAAGAGAAACUCAGCGCUGGGGAAGAAGUCACACAAAAAGAAGUGUUAAGAAUUUCCCUUUGAGGCUCUGAAGGCUAAAGGUAAUGUCCAGUAUUUUGUUCAAUAGGUUUUCAACUUCCUGAAAAGCUUCAUAAUAUUAAAGACCUUCAGCUUACUCCCUCAGAUCUUUUCUUUAUUUUCCUUUAACACAUUAAACAAACAUUUCUAUGUAUACCUAAAAAUAAUCUAACAUUAGGAGUCAAAAAAGAAAAAGGCUUUUGUUGUUUCAGAAUAUGUCAGCCUAAUUUGAUGUUGCAGUACCCCUUCAGCCUUCUAUUUGGGAAUAUACUAUGGUCCCUCCCCUGAUUUUUGAAGCAGUUUGGAACUCUUCUCAUCUUAUGCCCUGUCCUUUUCCUAAAUAGACACCUUGGCUCAAAGUAAAAAAGUCAGUAGCUAUCCCUCUUUAGGAAGAGCUUUACAACUAACUAUAAGAAAUAAAAAUACAUUUUUGAGGAGACAACAAAACCAUGUAGACAAGAUAUAAUGGCUACUCAUAGUCAGAAAUCCAGAAUUUCAGGCAAGAAGUUUACAAUAGAUGUGUGGCUGCAUUGUGUGUAAAGAGCUCAUAGGGUUUGAAGAAAGGUUCUGAUACAAGAGGGGGCUGUGAUUACUUUGCUUCUUACAUGCAUGGUUAGAUCUUCCAGCAAGAAUAGCAUGGUAGGGUAAUUUAUUACAGAGGAGUAAAUCACAGAUUACAUUGGAGGGGGAAGGGGUGGUGUGAUCCAACCAUCAGUUUUGUGAACACAUACACUUAAGCAUGUGUGAUAGCUUGUUUUUAAUUUCUUUACAUCGGUGCACACCUCAAACAUUCCAUUUAGCAGUGGGAUAUGCAAAUUGUUCCAAAUGCAGCAGCAGUACUUUCACCUGAAUGUCAAAACUGUCAGGGAGCUUUAAAUCAAAUCUUUAUAACAUUGAAAAAAAAAAAAAAACAGCCAGCCCCAA
Molecule: non-coding RNA, 1113 nt
Organism: Odocoileus virginianus texanus
Lineage: Eukaryota; Metazoa; Chordata; Mammalia; Artiodactyla; Cervidae
Source: RefSeq, a predicted model, not a curated record